UAAUACAUCGGAACGUGCCCCGUAGUGGGGGAUAACUAGUCGAAAGAUUAGCUAAUACCGCAUACGACCUGAGGGUGAAAGUGGGGGACCGCAAGGCCUCAUGCUAUAGGAGCGGCCGAUGUCUGAUUAGCUAGUUGGUGAGGUAAAGGCUCACCAAGGCGACGAUCAGUAGCUGGUCUGAGAGGACGAUCAGCCACACUGGGACUGAGACACGGCCCAG
This 220-nucleotide ribosomal RNA is filed under the name uncultured bacterium. Its description in RNAcentral is "partial 16S ribosomal RNA". It matches the Rfam family "Bacterial small subunit ribosomal RNA", at positions 111 to 334 of the family's 1533-position model. The record is from RNAcentral.